Long non-coding RNA from Spea bombifrons (plains spadefoot toad), 327 nucleotides. RefSeq lists it as uncharacterized. NCBI's taxonomy places the organism in Eukaryota, Metazoa, Chordata, Amphibia, Anura, Pelobatidae. The transcript is spliced from 2 exons. The record is from RefSeq and is a predicted model, not a curated record.
GCAGGCUGUAACUUCUCUCUGCAGAAUCAGUGUCUCAGUGAAUAUCUUUGGGCAUACUGUGCACAGCAAGAUUUUGCAAUGCAAGUUAGUAAUGCUGAAACAAGCCUUGAUACAAAUGGGAGCACAGGAAUACUGGAUUUAAUCCUUGCAACUUGCACAGCAAACAUUUCUUCUACAGAUGGAGAGGAGGAAUAUGAAUGGAAAUCUUUCUAUACCUCCUUUAAGACUGAACAAUUGAUUACACUUUGGAUUUUGUUUAUAGUCAUCAUAGUUGGUAAUUCUAUUGUCCUGUAUUUAACGUGGAAGGAGAAAGUUCGAAAAAGAAAA